Molecule: small nucleolar RNA, 89 nt
Filed under: Marmota monax (woodchuck)
Lineage: Eukaryota; Metazoa; Chordata; Mammalia; Rodentia; Sciuridae
Rfam family: Small nucleolar RNA U13
Source: RNAcentral
UCCUUUGGUUCUUAAGUGUGAUGAUUGGGUUUUUACGCUAUUGUGCCUCCCUCUAAACCUUGUUACGACAGUGGCACUUUACCCUCUGA